This 247-nucleotide ribosomal RNA is filed under the name uncultured bacterium. RNAcentral's name for it is "partial 16S ribosomal RNA". It matches the Rfam family "Bacterial small subunit ribosomal RNA", at positions 524 to 768 of the family's 1533-position model. The record is from RNAcentral.
UACGGAGGAUCCAAGCGUUAUCCGGAAUCAUUGGGUUUAAAGGGUCCGUAGGCGGUUUAGUAAGUCAGUGGUGAAAGCCCCAUCGCUCAACGGUGGAACGGCCAUUGAUACUGCUAGACUUGAAUUAUUAGGAAGUAACUAGAAUAUGUAGUGUAGCGGUGAAAAUGCUUAGAGAUUACAUGGAAUACCAAUUGCGAAGGCAGGUUACUACUAAUGGAUUGACGCUGAUGGACGAAAGCGUGGGUAG